UACACGACCGUACCGCAAACCGACACUGGUGCGCGAGAUGAGUAUUCUAAGGCGCUUGAGAGAACUCAGGUGAAGGAACUCGGCAAAUUGACACCGUAACUUCGGAAGAAGGUGUGCCUUUAGUAGGUGAACCAUUUACUUGGGGAGCCCAAUGAGGCUGCAAAAAAUCGGUGGCUGCAACUGUUUAUUAAAAACACAGCACUCUGCUAAGACGAAAGUCGACGUAUAGGGUGUGACGCCUGCCCGGUGCUGGAAGAUUAAAUGAUGGGGUGCAAGCUCUUGAUUGAAGUCCCAGUAAACGGCGGCCGUAACAAUAACGGUCCUAAGGUAGCGAAAUUCCUUGUCGGGUAAGUUCCGACCUGCACGAAUGGCGUAAUGAUGGCCACACUGUCUCCUCCUGAGACUCAGCGAAGUUGAAAUGUUUGUGAUGAUGCAAUCUCCCCGCGGAAAGACGGAAAGACCCCAUGAACCUUUACUGUAGCUUUGUAUUGGACUUUGAACAGAUCUGUGUAGGAUAGGUGGGAGGCUUUGAAGUGUGGUCGCUAGAUCGCAUGGAGCCAACGUUGAAAUACCACCCUGGUGUGUUGAGGUUCUAACCUAGGUCCAUUAUCUGGAUCGGGGACAGUGCAUGGUAGGCAGUUUGACUGGGGCGGUCUCCUCCCAAAGUGUAACGGAGGAGUUCGAAGGUACGCUAGGUACGGUCGGACAUCGUGCUAAUAGUGCAAUGGCAUAAGCGUGCUUAACUGCGAGACUGACAAGUCGAGCAGAUGCGAAAGCAGGACAUAGUGAUCCGGUGGUUCUGUAUGGAAGGGCCAUCGCUCAACGGAUAAAAGGUACUCUGGGGAUAACAGGCUGAUACCGCCCAAGAGUUCAUAUCGACGGCGGUGUUUGGCACCUCGAUGUCGGCUCAUCUCAUCCUGGGGCUGUAGCCGGUCCCAAGGGUAUGGCUGUUCGCCAUUUAAAGAGGUACGUGAGCUGGGUUUAAAACGUCGUGAGACAGUUUGGUCCCUAUCUUCCGUGGGCGCUGCAGAUUUGAGGAAGCCUGCUCCUAGUACGAGAGGACCGGAGUGGACGAACCUCUGGUGUAUCGGUUGUCACGCCAGUUGCAUUGCCGAGUAGCUAAGUUCGGAAGAGAUAACCGCUGAAAGCAUCUAAGCGGGAAACUCGUUUCAAGAUUAGAUCUGCCGGGGCCUUGAGCCCCCUAAAGAGUCGUUCAAGACCAGGACGUUGAUAGGUCAGGUGUGGAAGCG
RNAcentral lists this ribosomal RNA (1250 nucleotides) under metagenome. RNAcentral describes it as "bacterial LSU rRNA". It matches the Rfam family "Bacterial large subunit ribosomal RNA", at positions 1635 to 2875 of the family's 2925-position model. The record is from RNAcentral.